CCUACGGGUGGCAGCAGUGAGGAAUAUUGGUCAAUGGGCGGAAGCCUGAACCAGCCAAGUCGCGUGAGGGAAUAAGGCCCUACGGGUCGUAAACCUCUUUUGCCGGGGAGCAAGGGCCGGGACGCGUCCCGGCCCGGAGAGUACCCUAAGAACAAGCAUCGGCUAACUCCGUGCCAGCAGCCGCGGUAAUACGGGGGAUGCGGGCGUUAUCCGGUGUUGUUGGGUUUAAAGGGUGCGCGGGCGGAAUGUCAAGUCAGCGGUAAAAGUUCGGGGCUAAACCCCGUCGUGCCGUGGAAACUGGCGUUCUUGAGUGAGCGAGAAGUAUGCGGAAUGCGUGGUGUAGCGGUGAAAUGCAUAGAUAUCACGCAGAACUCCGAUGGCGAAGGCAGCAUACCGGCGCUCAACUGACGCUCAUGCACGAAAGCGUGGGUAUCGAACAGGAUUAGAUACCCCAGUAGUC
Molecule: ribosomal RNA, 460 nt
Filed under: uncultured bacterium
Lineage: Bacteria
Description: partial 16S ribosomal RNA
Rfam family: Bacterial small subunit ribosomal RNA
Source: RNAcentral